AAAUGCCUGGGAGCGGUAGAGGAGCAUCGUGCAUCGGCUGAAGGUAUACCGAAAGGAGAACUGGACGGUGCAGGAGAGAGAAUGCCGGUAUGAGUAACGAGAUGCAAGCGAGAAACUUGCACGUCGAAAGCCCAAGGUUUCCUGGGGAAGGUUCAUCCGCCCAGGGUAAGUCGGGGCCUAAGCCGAGGACGAUGGUCGUAGGCGAUGGACAACAGGUUGAUAUUCCUGUACCACCUAUAUGAGUGACGCACUGACACAGAAGGAUAGCGUGAGCCGGUUGAUGGUAGAGCCGGUCCAAGCGCGCAGGGUGCGGCGUAGUGAAGUACGCGCCGCUUAAGCCCGAAGCGUGACGGGGAGCGAAAUCAGAGUAGCGAAGCAUGUGAAUCCAGGCUGGCAAGAAAAGGUGCUAACAAUUGUAUGGGUGCCCGUACCGCAAACCGACGCAGGUGGGCGAGGAGAGAAUCCUAAGACGAACGGGAGAACCCUUGUUAAGGAACUCGGCAAAAUGACCCCGUAACUUCGGGAGAAGGGGUGCCUCGAAAGAGGCCGCAGAGAAUAGGCCCAAGCGACUGUUUAGCAAAAACACAGGUGUUUGCGAAAGCGAGAGCUGACGUAUAAGCGCUGACGCCUGCCCGGUGCUGGAAGGUUAAGAGGAGUUGUCAUCGCAAGAGAAGCAGCGAAUUGAAGCCCCAGUAAACGGCGGCCGUAACAAUAACGGUCCUAAGGUAGCGAAAUUCCUUGUCGGGUAAGUUCCGACCCGCACGAAUGGCGUAACGACUUGGGCGCUGUCUCAACAAGGGACCCGGUGAAAUUGAAGUAUGGGUGAAGAUGCCCAUUACCCGCGACUGGACGGAAAGACCCCGUAGAGCUUUACUGUAGCUUAUCAUUGGAUUUUGGCAACGGAUGCACAGGAUAGGUGGGACGCAGGGAAGUGAGUGCUUCGGCAUUCAUGGAGCGGCCGUUGGGAUACCACUCUUCUGUUGCUGAAAUUCUAACAACGUGCGGUGAUCCCGGCGAUGGACAGCGAUAGGUGGGCAGUUUGACUGGGGCGGCCGCCUCCCAAAGAGUAACGGAGGCGCCCAAAGGUUCCCUCAGAAUGGAUGGAAACCAUUCGAAGAGUGCAAUGGCAGAAGGGAGCCUGACUGCGAGACGGACAGGUCGAGCAGAGACGAAAGUCGGGCAUAGUGAUCCGGCGGUUUUGAGUGGAAAAGCCGUCGCUCAACGGAUAAAAGCUACCUCGGGGAUAACAGGCUGAUCUCCCCCAAGAGUCCACAUCGACGGGGAGGUUUGGCACCUCGAUGUCGGCUCGUCGCAUCCUGGGGCUGAAGCAGGUCCCAAGGGUUUGGCUGUUCGCCAAUUAAAGCGGCACGCGAGCUGGGUUCAGAACGUCGUGAGACAGUUCGGUCCCUAUCCAUCGUGGGCGCAGGAAUCAUGACGGGAGCUGUCCCUAGUACGAGAGGACCGGGAUGGACGCACCUCUGGUGCAACAGUUGUCGUGCCAACGGCAUAGCUGGGUAGCGAAGUGCGGACGGGAUAAACGCUGAAGGCAUCUAAGCGUGAAGCCCCCCUGAAGAAGAAGAUUCCCACUGCUUAGAGCAGGUAAGACCCCUUGAAGACGACAAGGUUGAUAGGUCGGCGGUGAAAGCAUGGUAACACGUGUAGCUUGCCGGUACUAAUCGGUCGAGGGCUUG
RNAcentral lists this ribosomal RNA (1691 nucleotides) under metagenome. RNAcentral's name for it is "bacterial LSU rRNA". It matches the Rfam family "Bacterial large subunit ribosomal RNA", at positions 1213 to 2925 of the family's 2925-position model. The record is from RNAcentral.